GUAAAGAGAUGCCUAAGAAACAAGUUGGUGACCGUCAUGGACAUGAACAUGAACGUUCAAAGGAAGGUGAUGAUCAUUCCGGAGAUGAGUAUGGCGAGCACACAAGGAAAGGUAAGGGAAUGCCUAGGAAACAAUCUGGUGAUCGUGACAACCGUGAACGUUCAAAGGAAGAUGAUGAUCACUCGAGAUCUGGACGUGGUGAAAGUAAAGGAAUGCCCACGAAAAAAUCUGGGGGUCAUGGACAUGAUGAACAUUCAGAUGAAGAUGAUAGUCGCUCUGGAGGGGGGUAUGGCGAUUACAUCAAAAAAGCUCAAGGAAU
Molecule: long non-coding RNA, 319 nt
Filed under: Solanum tuberosum (potato)
Lineage: Eukaryota; Viridiplantae; Streptophyta; Magnoliopsida; Solanales; Solanaceae
Description: long non-coding RNA (STUB_LNC005299)
Source: RNAcentral